GGUAAAAUCUGCCGUUGAGCGGUC
RNAcentral lists this non-coding RNA (24 nucleotides) under Arabidopsis thaliana (thale cress). The record is from RNAcentral. Lineage: Eukaryota; Viridiplantae; Streptophyta; Magnoliopsida; Brassicales; Brassicaceae.